UACGUAGGGUGCAAGCGUUGUCCGGAAUUAUUGGGCGUAAAGAGCUCGUAGGCGGUUUGCCGCGUCUGCUGUGAAAAUCCAGGGCUUAACCCUGGACCUGCAGUGGGUACGGGCAGACUAGAGUGGCGGUAGGGGAGAUCGGAAUUCCUGGUGUAGCGGUGAAAUGCGCAGAUAUCAGGAGGAACACCGGUGGCGAAGGCGGAUCUCUGGGCCGUAACUGACGCUGAGGAGCGAAGCAUGGGGAGCGAACAGGAAUUAGACUACCG
Molecule: ribosomal RNA, 266 nt
Filed under: uncultured bacterium
Lineage: Bacteria
Description: partial 16S ribosomal RNA
Rfam family: Bacterial small subunit ribosomal RNA
Source: RNAcentral